This 276-nucleotide ribosomal RNA is filed under the name uncultured bacterium. Its description in RNAcentral is "partial 16S ribosomal RNA". It matches the Rfam family "Bacterial small subunit ribosomal RNA", at positions 82 to 354 of the family's 1533-position model. The record is from RNAcentral.
CUGCCGCCGGCGACCGGCGCACGGGUGAGUAACACGUAUGCAACCUGGCCGUGACAGAUGGAUAACCGGGAGAAAUCCCGCCUAAUACAACAUAAUGCCGGGAGGGGACAUCCCCUGCCGGCCAAAGGGGGCGACCCCGGUCACGGAUGGGCAUGCGGCGCAUUAGGUAGUUGGUGGGGCAACGGCCCACCAAGCCGACGAUGCGUAGGGGUUCUGAGAGGAAGGUCCCCCACAUUGGAACUGAGACACGGUCCAAACUCCUACGGAAGGCAGCAG